GAUGAACGCUGACCGAAUGCUUAACCCAUGCAAGUCUUUGGCGAAUCUAUGCUUGCCCUCGCCAUCCGAGGCCGACCGGUGAGUAACGCGUAAAGAACUUGCCCUGCAAACUGGGAUAACCCACGGAAACGACUGACAACACCUGAUACAGUUGCCGGCACGCAUGUGCCUGGCAAUGAAAAGAGAUGCUGCGGGAGAGCUUUGCGUCCUAUUAUCUUGUUGGCGGGGUAACGGCCCACCAAGGCGAUGAUAGGUAGCCGGCCUGAGAGGGUGAACGGCCACCAGGGGACUGAAAUACGGCCCUUACUCCUACGGGAGGCAGCAGUGGGGAAUAUUGGACAAUGGGGGCAACCCUGAUCCAAAAUUCUGUGUGCACGAUGAAGGUUUUCGGAUUGUAAAGUGCUUUCAGCAGGGAAAAAGGAAGUGACGGUACCUGCAGAAAAUCCGACGGCUAUCUACGUGCCAGCAGCCGCGGUAAUACGUAUGUCGCAAGCGUUAUCCGGAAUUAUUGGGCGUAAAGAGCUCGUAAGCGGCUGGUCGCGUCUGUCGUGAAAUCCUCUGGCUUAACUGGGGGCUUGCGGUGGGUACGGGCCGGCUUGAGUGCGGUAGGGGAGACUGGAACUCCUGGUGUAGCGGUCGAAUGCGCAGAUAUCAUGACCAACAUCGGUGGCCACGCGCGUCUCUGGGCCGUCACUGACGCUGAUGAGCGAAUUCCUGUCGAGCGUACGGGUUAGAUACCCCGGUAGUCUUAGUGCGAUUCCACAUUGAAUUCAAGCUUAAUUCCACCGUCGUAUCUCAAGGUAUAUAAAAACCCCCAACCCCAGUGUAAAAAAAAAAAAAAAAAUUA
RNAcentral lists this ribosomal RNA (847 nucleotides) under uncultured Prevotella sp. Its description in RNAcentral is "partial 16S ribosomal RNA". It matches the Rfam family "Bacterial small subunit ribosomal RNA", at positions 28 to 873 of the family's 1533-position model. The record is from RNAcentral. Lineage: Bacteria; Pseudomonadati; Bacteroidota; Bacteroidia; Bacteroidales; Prevotellaceae.